GCAACAUACAUACGCCGACGUGCAUGCAUGGCAUGAGCCAGCAGAUAGAGUACGUUCAAUAAGGUAUCUUUAUUACCUGCUGGGCAACCAAGGUCUGGUUGAACUGUCCACGGCGGCCCCAGUCGCCGACGACGAGGAUGGCGAGCGACCCGUCGGCCUUGGUGGGCGUGUGCUGCACCCGCGGCAGCGCAGCAUCCGCCGUCGUCGGCGCCAGAAGCAAAGCCGCCGCCGCGGUGGCAACGACGAGGAGCAGCACCAGGCGGCGGAGCCUAUCAUGAGCUGGAGCCAUCGCCACUUACUCUGCUAUAGCAGCCCCGAUGGCCAGUUGCUAGCUGGAGGAACGCAGCGGACAGAGAGUGCGUACCGCAGG
This 370-nucleotide unclassified non-coding RNA is filed under the name Zea mays. Its description in RNAcentral is "misc RNA Zm00001eb201690". The record is from RNAcentral. Lineage: Eukaryota; Viridiplantae; Streptophyta; Magnoliopsida; Poales; Poaceae.